This 478-nucleotide ribosomal RNA is filed under the name uncultured bacterium. RNAcentral's name for it is "partial 16S ribosomal RNA". It matches the Rfam family "Bacterial small subunit ribosomal RNA", at positions 28 to 523 of the family's 1533-position model. The record is from RNAcentral.
GACGAACGCUGGCGGCGUGCUUAACACAUGCAAGUCGAGCGGAAAGGCCCUUCGGGGUACUCGAACGGCGAACGGGUGAGUAACACGUGAGUAAUCUGCCCUGCACUCUGGGAUAGCCUUGGGAAACUGAGAUUAAUACCGGAUAUGUUCACUUCCCGCAUGGGAUGGUGGUGGAAAGUUUUUCGGUGCAGGAUGUGCUCGCGGCCUAUCAGCUUGUUGGUGGGGUAAUGGCCUACCAAGGCUUCGACGGGUAGCCGGCCUGAGAGGGUGACCGGCCACACUGGGACUGAGACACGGCCCAGACUCCUACGGGAGGCAGCAGUGGGGAAUAUUGGACAAUGGGCGGAAGCCUGAUCCAGCAACGCCGCGUGAGGGAUGACGGCCUUCGGGUUGUAAACCUCUUUCAGCACAGACGAAGCGCAAGUGACGGUAUGUGCAGAAGAAGGACCGGCCAACUACGUGCCAGCAGCCGCAGUAA